UGGAGUCCGGAGUCCGCGUCCGCGGGGGCCGAAGGGACUAGAGUAGGGGCAAGGCCUUCCGAGCUGGAGGAGACCGCCGCGGCGGCCUUGGAGGUGGCGGAGACGGGGGAGGGUGGGGGGUGGUUUCGUGGCGGGAAGGAAGGGGAGGGGAGGGGAGGUGGCCUAGGUAUAGUCUGCGCGAAGAAAGGAAAGUACCCGUUAGUUUGGGAUCGGAUGAGCCUAAACAGAAGCGAAAUAAUCCCAAUCCGUGGAGGACGAGGCCACGAGGGGGGAGGGGUAGUGGCGGUGUUCGGCAGGCAGCGGGCAGGUGCAGGUCGCCGCCUCGCGCUCGCGGUACAGGCACCGCCGCCCCCAGUCGCUACGCCGGUAGCGCCACGCGCUGUUCGAGGCCCCGUUCUAGCCGGUCUGGUUCCACUUCGCGAUGACCGGGCCCUUCUUCGGGCUCACCCGGCUACUCCGGCUCCUGCUGUAGCUGGAGGCCCGCCGGUCCCAGAGGGAGCUGCUCCGGAAGGGGUUCCGGCUCCUUCCCCUGGCCCUGGCCCUGGCCGGGGGGUUCCUGCUGGCCGCCGAGGCCGCCGAGCGCCUCUGCGCGCGCCUCUUGUUCCUCCUCGAGGCCCGGCUGGUGGCGGCGUAGGCCGUCCGACUCUAGCACAGGUGGCGACUCCUCCUCGCCCUGUCCGUUCUCCGGGUCCACCUCCUCCUCCUGCUGCUCCUGCGCGUCCUCCUCGCCGCCGCCUCCUAGUUCCUCGCCGUCGCGGAGUCCCGCGUCCUCCUCCUCCUCGACGAGGGCGUCCUCCUCCUCGGCGAGCUCCUACUGCACGUCCUCAGCCUCCUCAGGCUCAUGCUCUGGCUGAGCCUCCUACUCGUCUACCCGUACCGGUACCACUUCGGGCAGAAGUAGGGGUUCCGCGUCGCCCUGUGGUAGCGGCUCGCGCUCGCCGACCUCCUCCUCCUCGCCGUCCACCUCCUCUGGUAGUCCUUCUCCGAGCUCCGAUCCUUCUAGCUCUGGUCCGUCUAACACCACCUCCUCUAAUCCUUCCUACUCGUGUAAGUCUUCCGCGAGUUGCUCCUACGAUCGCAGCUCCUACAGCUGUGCCUACUACUCGUCUUGCUUCGACUCCUCAUGCUCAGUACCUUCUUAGCACUCUACCGCGCCUAAUUCUCCCUGUCCCUCCUUUCCAUACGUGCCAACUUCCUCUUCCUUCUCUAACUGUUCCACUCCUUAUACUGACUCCUCCUCGCGGCCCUUACCCUCUUCUUCUUGGGGUUUGGAAGAGAGGUCUUCAGGUUUGUCUUCACCUUGAAAUACGUCUUCAUGAUGGUGUUCCCACGGAAGAAGGUCCUUCCGCCACUACUGCACUCGGUCAGUCGACCAUCUCUACGAUAUAUGUGGGCACUAAAGAGACGCGGGUGGCCACUUCUAUUCUACCUGUUCUCGUAGAACGGAUUCCAGUACGUUCAGUUCGUAAAGCCCGCCUCACCGUCUUGUUUCACCUGUGUAGAACAAUUACUCCUGUGAUGGCUGACCCUACGUGGUACCCGAUGUUUGCCCGGCGACGCUUGUUUUAUAUUACGUUUUUACCGCCCGUACUUACGUGGAUAACGAUUUGGUUUCCCUUCAUUCUUCUACUUCCUAACCCUAUGCUUUGCUCUACUAAUUUACAAACAACGACCGACACACUGGACCAUGUGACGACUUGUACCACUAAUACGUCUACAAAAAGAAGAAAUACAGCCAGCGUAUACUGUGUACACGGUAGUAAACCGACGGGUUUAGGAGGGGCUGAUGGGGCUUCGGGCCCGUCUGGGAGGACUUGACCUGACGACCGGGCCACCCACUUGAUUUCGGAACUUUGUCAUCUCUUCUCCACUUGACGACAAUAUUCAUUGCGGUAGCGGGUAGAGUAGACCCUCGGACAGACCAUUAAACUAACCUCUAAACUUCAUUGUUAGGUCCUGUACUGAACAGUUGAACUAUUUGGUGUGUCGAAACCAGAGAAACGACCGAACCUUUACAAACCACCUACUACUGUACUACACCGUCACCAAAACGUGUGCAUCACAGUGGUUGGUCCUAUAAACACCUUCUUCGUCUAUUAUCCUCUCCCUUCUCCUUAUUCUUACGAACAAUUUAGUACUAUUCGUAAGAUCUACCCUUGCUUAUUCUUACCACAAAUUAGUACUAUCAAUGAGAACUGUUCUCUGUUCUCAUACCCCUACAGUCUCUUAACUUUUUUAUUGUUAUUGCGUUGGUCCUGUUCACAAACAUUGUACAGAGAAAAAACAGAUUUACUUACAAGUCACAAAAACCUAAA
Molecule: ribosomal RNA, 2315 nt
Filed under: Triticum aestivum (bread wheat)
Lineage: Eukaryota; Viridiplantae; Streptophyta; Magnoliopsida; Poales; Poaceae
Description: partial small subunit ribosomal RNA
Source: RNAcentral